CCUACGGGAGGCAGCAGUGAGGAAUAUUGGUCAAUGGGCGCGAGCCUGAACCAGCCAAGUAGCGUGAAGGAUGACUGCCCUACGGGUUGUAAACUUCUUUUAUAAAGGAAUAAAGUGAGGCACGUGUGCCUUUUUGUAUGGACUUUAUGAAUAAGGAUCGGCUAACUCCGUGCCAUCAGCCGCGGUAAUACGGAGGAUCCGAGCGUUAGCCGGAUUUAUUGGGUUUAAAGGGAGCGUAAAUGGGUUGUUAAGUCAGUUGUGAAAGUUUGCGGCUCAACCGUAAAAUUGCAAUUGAUACUGGCAGUCUUGAGUACAGUGGAGGUAGGCGGAAUUCGUGGUGUAGCGGUGAAAUGCUUAGAUAUCACGAAGAACUCCGAUUGCGAAGGCAGCUUACUAAACUGCCACUGACAUUGAUGCUCGAAAGUGUGGGUAUCAAACAGGAUUAGAUACCCUUGUAGUC
RNAcentral lists this ribosomal RNA (460 nucleotides) under uncultured bacterium. RNAcentral describes it as "partial 16S ribosomal RNA". It matches the Rfam family "Bacterial small subunit ribosomal RNA", at positions 338 to 795 of the family's 1533-position model. The record is from RNAcentral.